UACGUAGGUGGCAAGCGUUAUCCGGAUUUACUGGGUGUAAAGGGCGUGUAGGCGGUUCUGCAAGUCAGAUGUGAAAUCUCCGGGCUUAACCCGGAAGCUGCAUCUGAAACUGCAGAACUUGAGUACUGGAGAGGAUAGUGGAAUUCCUAGUGUAGCGGUAAAAUGCGUAGAUAUUAGGAGGAACACCAGUGGCGAAGGCGGCUAUCUGGACAGUAACUGACGCUGAGGCGCGAAAGCGUGGGGAGCAAACAGGAUUAGAUACCCGGGUA
This 269-nucleotide ribosomal RNA is filed under the name uncultured prokaryote. Its description in RNAcentral is "partial 16S ribosomal RNA". It matches the Rfam family "Bacterial small subunit ribosomal RNA", at positions 524 to 792 of the family's 1533-position model. The record is from RNAcentral.